UGGGGAAUAUUGGACAAUGGGCGCAAGCCUGAUCCAGCCAUGCCGCGUGGGUGAAGAAGGCCUUCGGGUUGUAAAGCCCUUUAGGUGGGGAGGAAGGCAUUCAUGCUAAUACCAUGGAUGAUUGACGUUACCCACAGAAUAAGCACCGGCUAACUCCGUGCCAGCAGCCGCGGUAAUACGGAGGGUGCGAGCGUUAAUCGGAAUUACUGGGCGUAAAGAGCACGUAGGCGGUUUGAUAAGUGGGAUGUGA
RNAcentral lists this ribosomal RNA (250 nucleotides) under uncultured bacterium. RNAcentral describes it as "partial 16S ribosomal RNA". It matches the Rfam family "Bacterial small subunit ribosomal RNA", at positions 355 to 597 of the family's 1533-position model. The record is from RNAcentral.